AACACAAGAAAGAAAGAAAAUCAAGAUUCCGAAAGAGCCUGGUGAAGAGGAAACACCUGUGUUGAGGGCUGGGAAACAGCACCAGGCAGAUCCAGGCUCCACCCUCACGGAGCCCUGUGGUCAAGUGGAGGACGGAGGUCAGUCAUCAGACUGUGGCAAGGAUAAGGACAAAACCCGGGCCUGGUGGGGUCACCAGUGAAGGCUUCCAGGGGGAAGUGACCUGCAAGGUAGAGAGGCCCAGGGUUGAGUCGAUUCCCAGGCAGAAUUAGGGAAGUGUGUCUGGUGAAGGCAUGGAGAAGAGAGGAAACGUGAAGGAGCGGCUGAGUCGGGGGCAGGGUGGGGGGUGCAGAGUUGGAGUGGUAAGCGAGGACAGGUGAGGCAGGGUCUGGUCAGCUCUGAUAAGACCCUUGGCCUAUCGUAGCAGGUGGUGGCAUGAUGAGAUGGACAUUUUAGAAAGAGCUUCCUGGCUGCUGUGUGGAGCGUGGCUGGACACAGGUAAGCCUGGAUGGAGUCAGGGUAGGGGGAGACAAAGGAGUUGAGGCAGGAGAGGGAGGUGGCCAGGGUGAGGGAAACAGUGGGGGUGGGGAGAGAGGCCCGACUCCAGAGAUACUGGGAUGCAGAGGGGCCCGGACUUGGAUUGGCCAUGUGUGCUGGGCAGGAGAGGGUAGGCAGGGCAGAGGGAGAGGGAGGCCCCCGGGUCUCUGGGCAGCAUGGGUUAGGGUGGUGAUUUGCACCAAGAUCAAACACAGAGGCAGCUUUAGAAGAAAGGGUCGUGCGCAGUUCAUCAGGGCUACAGGAAAAUUAUGUCAGCCGCUUGUCCUAACCAAGGAUCACACGACCACAUGGAAAACAGCCAGCAACAAACUGCGGAGCACUUUACAAAGCGUUUCCUACCAGGAACUCCUGUGGCCACCUGAUCAUCCACUAAGGCAUCCCCGAUAAUCUAGAGCUUCUGCUCCUGGAGAGUUAAGGCUUUGGCAAGAAGCUCUCCCACAAGGCAAACGAAAUGUCCCCCAUCCAUCUGUGAGUGCACAGGGCAUCACGGCAGUUACUUUCUGUGAAUGGCCUCCUCGUGAACGUCAGUCCCGCCAGGGGGUGGGGAGGGGGACUUGAUUUAUUAUAUGGCUUUUGGACAGUUCCUCCAGAAAUUCUGCCAAAUAGAGGAAUAAUCAACUCUUUCACUCAAGCCCCUCAUACUUUUUUUUUUAAUGAAAGAAUAAAGUACGCAAUGAGCCUGAACUAAAUAAAUAAAAAUGCCACACUUUUGCCCAACA
Long non-coding RNA from Felis catus (domestic cat), 1274 nucleotides. RefSeq lists it as uncharacterized. The record is from RefSeq and is a predicted model, not a curated record. The transcript has 2 exons. NCBI's taxonomy places the organism in Eukaryota, Metazoa, Chordata, Mammalia, Carnivora, Felidae.